This is a long non-coding RNA of Gossypium arboreum, 393 nucleotides long. RefSeq lists it as uncharacterized. The record is from RefSeq and is a predicted model, not a curated record. Lineage: Eukaryota; Viridiplantae; Streptophyta; Magnoliopsida; Malvales; Malvaceae. The transcript has 3 exons.
AUAAGAAACAGAAUAAAAGCAAACGAAACAGAGAAGAAACAGGGGAGAAAGAAAGAAAGAAAAAGAAAAAGGAAAAUUUGGGUUUCAAGGCUCAAAGUUUAAUUUGUCAAUGGUGGUACCAGAAAUCUUGGCUAAAAAAGGACAAGACAAAGUCAACGGGAGUUAGCUCGAAAAUUACGGUUUAGUAAAGAUAGAACGUUGAAUCAGCAUCCCAGUUCGAUCCCGAAUUCAUUAAGGUAAAGUGUGUUAAUUAUUGGUAAUGGCAUGUACCUAGGACGUUUUAUGAGAGUCAUUUAGGUUGUAGAUAUACUCAUGAAAUGAGUAAAUUAUGGUUGGCAACGGUAUGUAGUAUGAAUUUGAAAUUUACUAAAAAUUCGUAGUGAUUCUAAAUUA